CUGCAUAAGCGAUAGAAGCGGCAUCCUUUUUUUUGCGCUGGCAAAUAAGACGUUUUUGUAAUUAAAAGCACUGGCAAAAAAAAGAUAUAGCGGAUAGCGCGACCGACG
This 108-nucleotide small RNA is filed under the name Halpernia frigidisoli. Its description in RNAcentral is "Chryseobacterium frigidisoli Flavo-1 RNA". It matches the Rfam family "Flavo-1 RNA". Lineage: Bacteria; Pseudomonadati; Bacteroidota; Flavobacteriia; Flavobacteriales; Weeksellaceae. The record is from RNAcentral.